UUCCGGUUGAUCCUGCCGGAGGUCACUGCUAUUGGGAUUCGACUAAGCCAUGCGAGUCGAGAGGGUUCGGCCCUCGGCAGACGGCUCAGUAACACGUGGAUAAUCUGUCCUUAGGUGGAGGAUAAUCUCGGGAAACUGAGAAUAAUACUCCAUAGAUCUAGGAUGCUGGAAUGCACCUAGGUUGAAAGCUCCGGCGCCUAAGGGUGAGUCUGCGGACUAUCAGGCUGUAGUCAGGGUAAAGACCUGACUAACCUACGACGGAUACGGGUUGUGAGAGCAAUAACCCGGAGACGAUAUCUGAGACACGAUAUCGGGCCCUACGGGGCGCAGCAGGCGCGAAACCUUCACACUGUGCGAAAGCGCGAUGAGGGAAUCCCAAGUGCUUGCACGUAAGUGUAAGCUGUUUCUGUGUCUAAAAAGCAUAGAGAGUAAGAGCUGGGUAAGACGGGUGCCAGCCGCCGCGGUAAUACCUGCAGCUCAAGUGGUGACCAUUAUUAUUGGGCCUAAAACGUUCGUAGCCGGUUUAGUAAAUGCCUGGGUAAAUCGAGCCGCUUAACGGUUCGACUUCCGGGUAGACUGCUAAACUUGAGACCGGGAGAGGCUAGAGGUACUCCUGGGGUAGAGGUGAAAUUCUGUAAUCCUGGGGGGACCACCAGUGGCGAAGGCGUCUAGCUAGAACGGGUCUGACGGUGAGGGACGAAGCCCUGGGGCGCAAACCGGACUAGAUACCCGGGUAGUCCAGGGUGUAAACGCUGCUUGCUUGAUGUUAGUUGGGCUCUGAGCCCAAUUAGUGUCGGAGAGAAGUUGUUAAGCAAGCUGCCUGGGAAGUACGGUCGCAAGGCUGAAACUUAAAGGAAUUGGCGGGGGAGCACAGCAACGGGUGGAGCGUGCGGUUUAAUUGGAUUCAACGCCGGG
RNAcentral lists this ribosomal RNA (915 nucleotides) under uncultured archaeon. RNAcentral describes it as "bacterial SSU rRNA". It matches the Rfam family "Archaeal small subunit ribosomal RNA", at positions 1 to 922 of the family's 1478-position model. The record is from RNAcentral.